AUUGAACGCUGGCGGCAGGCCUAACACAUGCAAGUCGAGCGAGAGGGGGACGGGUGAGUAAUGUCUGGGAAAAUGCCUGAUGGAGGGGGAUAACAACUGGAAACGGUAGCUAAUACAGCAUACCAUCAGAUGUGCUCAGAUGGGAUUAGCUAGUAGGUGGGGGAACGGCUCACCUAGGCGACGAUCCCUAGCGGUUCUGAGAGGAUGACCAGCCACACUGGAACUGAGACACGGUCCAGACUCCUACGGGAGGCAGCAGUGGGGAAUAUUGCACAAUGGGCGCAAGCCUGAUGCAGCCAUGCCGCGUGUGUGAAGAAGGCCUUCGGGUUGUAAAGCACUUUCAGCGGGGAGGCGUUACCCGCAGAAGAAGCACCGGCUAACUCCGUGCCAGCAGCCGCGGUAAUAC
This 406-nucleotide ribosomal RNA is filed under the name uncultured bacterium. RNAcentral describes it as "partial 16S ribosomal RNA". It matches the Rfam family "Bacterial small subunit ribosomal RNA", at positions 29 to 526 of the family's 1533-position model. The record is from RNAcentral.